AUCCAGCUGAUGAGUCUCAAAUAGGACAAAACAUACAUUCUGGAU
This 45-nucleotide non-coding RNA is filed under the name Schistosoma curassoni. Lineage: Eukaryota; Metazoa; Platyhelminthes; Trematoda; Strigeidida; Schistosomatidae. The record is from RNAcentral.